RNAcentral lists this ribosomal RNA (440 nucleotides) under uncultured bacterium. Its description in RNAcentral is "partial 16S ribosomal RNA". It matches the Rfam family "Bacterial small subunit ribosomal RNA", at positions 338 to 795 of the family's 1533-position model. The record is from RNAcentral.
CCUACGGGUGACAGCAGUGGGGAAUAUUGGACAAUGGGGGGAACCCUGAUCCAGCGACGCCGCGUGAGUGAAGAAGUCUUUCGGUAUGUAAAGCUCUAUCAGCCGGGAAGCAAAUGACGGUACCUGACUAAGAAGCCCCGGCUAAAUACGUGCCAGCAGCCGCGGUCAUACGUCGGGGGCAAGCGUUAUGCGGAUUUACUGGGUGUAAAGGGAGCGUAGACGGGUCAGCAAGUCUGAUGGGAAAGGUCGGGGCCCAACCCCGGGACUGCAUUGGAAACUGGUGAACUGGAGUGCAGGAGAGGUAAGCGGAAUGCGUAGUGUAGCGGUGAAAUGCGUAGAUAUUAGGAGGAACACCAGUGGCGAAGGCAGCUUACUGGACUGUAACUGACGUUGAAGCUCGAAAGCGUGGGGAGCAAACAGGAUUAGAUACCCCUGUAGUC